GGGAUGAAGUCAUGUGGAAAAACGCUCAAGUCAGAACAAAACUGUCUUUCUGCAAACGACUUCAUCACGUUGCCAGCAGCCUCGGAUCACUCUGCCUCUCACCUCUUCCAGCCCGCCCACAGGAGCGGGGAAGACCAGUUCCUCGGGUCUGGUUACAUCAUUUAGGCAAAAAUAAAUGUUAUAGAGACCCACCCAGGAGGUGCUGGGGAGCCAGUGGCUCCAUCCUCCUCCACGGCCCUGGCCUCCUCUGACCCACCAGGCUGGGAAGGCCCGGAGAGCAGGCUUGGGCUUUCUCUAGCUCUGUGUGCCUAGGGCCUAGUGCAGAAACAGAGCUCAGCUUCCUUUUAUCAGAGACUGGCAAAAUAAAAUAAAAUAAAAAGCACUCAGUGAAUGCAUACGUUCAUCCAUUCAACAAAUUCUGCUCCCUCCGACCAGGCAGUGGAGGUUCUGGCAUUGGAAUUAACGCUAGUGGAAAGAGGAACUAGAAGAUGGAAGGAGUGAAGGAGCAAAUUCCUCACUCGGGUGACAAGGCACAACGGAGCAGGAUGCGGGCCCCAGAGAGGUGUGAAAAAGCUGAGUUCCAUUUCUUACUCCAGUCAAUGUUUCUAGUCAACAGAAUUGUCUUCGGCAGAGGAUCCUGGCAACAUGGUGGGCACCUAGGGAUUUAGGGAAGCCACUCUACUGCUCUGGCAUUGAUUGUCCUCUGCAGGAGACAGAUGGCAUCAGUUACCGGAGUUCCUUGCUACAAUGGAGAUAUGGCCAAGGACACGCAGUCAGCACCCAGCGACUAUCUAUGGAAUUAGUGAACCGAGGAAUGAAGUCUCCUGCUCCAGUGCUCCAGAGUUUCACAUGUGGCCUUGUUUCCUCACCAUCCUGGCUGCUCUGGCUUACAGAACUUGGGUGGCAGACUCACUGCCAGUGGUGGGGAGCAGCCCCUGUGCCGCACGUGUCCAGCCUCAAGGUCCCAGAGCAAGCAGUUCAUGCUCCAAGCCACCUUCUAGAGAGAUGGGAGAAAGAACAGGGAAGCUAGAGAGCUUCUACCACCAUCUGAGUCCCUGUAGAUGGAGAGAGUAGCUGGAGAGGCAGGAGUGCAAGGGGCUCUGCAGCUCUGGAGACAUGGGACAGGCCACUUGCCUCUCAGAGGUGCUGUGGCAGAGUGUACCCCCUUGGUCUUCUCAGCAGUUUGCCUUAUGUCUAAAGCUUCCUGGGCCCUCAGUACAGGGUGCUAGUUUUGUCUAGGGGGCAGCCAACCCCCUACCAAUGAGGUUAGAAUUGGUUGGUAUGCACCCCAUUCCUCAGCGGGUCAAUCUGAGACAUGUCCUUCUCAGCCUUGCAGACGGCCCUGAGGGGGAGUGAAAUGUGAAAAUGACCUAUUUACGAAUACAUCCUUUAUUUGCCUGUCAUUGUUCACUGUCUUGACACCGGUGUUCUCCCAGUGCCUCCACGGUGUUCUCCCAGUGCCUCCACGGCCUCCUGCCUCCUGUGUUCCUGGCUGCCUAGCCCUCACCCUGAGCCUGGGAAGAAGUCAGGACCUUUCACUUGCCACCCUGGAUUAUGCAGUGACCUUUUGUCCCCAGGAUUCAGCAUUUUGCCUGACAGGAGGACCAAGAACUGAGGAAAAAAAGUAAAUAGCUUUGGGCUGGCUUCAGAAGGAGUGGCAGGGAGCUCCCUUCAGCCUCCUGUGAAAUGGGUAUGCUGGCUUUAUAUUUCAAGAGAACGCUGUCAGGGAACGGGGAAAAGGGCUGACUCAUCAGUUCUUAAUGGCACUAACACCCAGCCUCUGUGAGCCCUCCUGGGAUGUCGUCGAGGAGUGAUUUGCUUUUCAGGGCUUUGACAUCAGAGGCCUCCUCUCUGUCUGCUGGAGUUUGUCAUGCUCUAGCUCUUCCUAGGAAAAUUGCCUAACGCUGUGGCAAAAGAGAGGUAAUAAAAUAUUCAUUUGCCAAGGCUAGAGGGUGGAAGCUAUCGAAUCCUCCAGGAGAAGAUGUCCUAAAUUGAAGACACACACAGACCCAGAUGGAAUCACAUGCCCACACAGCAGGCAUUCUCAGGCACACAGCCUCCCAUGUACACAAAAGCCUCUGCCUGUGCACUCACAAAGCCCCACAUGUGCAAGCACACAUGUACCCGUCACACACCUACACAAUAUACUAGUCUGUACUAAGGACACAUACACGUCACAAUGUGAAGAUACAUGCACAUUGCACAAGCCUGUGGAACCCUGCUCCAUGCACACACGCACACACCUAUACCUAUCCCCCCACCAUCGUAAUUAAAAGUGACGCCAUCCUAGCUCAUCUACUGUGAGUGGAAGAGCCCAUCAACCUGGCCCUGACUUUUGAACAAUAGCUGCCUGUCUGGCUGUCCUGAGGAAGCCCAGUUCUGUCAGGCAGAAAGCAGAUGCCGUGCUGGGGGAAGCAGGAGAAGUGUGACUCAGAGGUGAGUUGCACAACUCGGUUCUGCCCGUCUGCUCUGCCCAGGAAGAGGAUAGGGGGAGCUUGCAAAUGGGAAAGCUGCUGCACUUCUGGAAGCUUCCAGAUUAUCAGGCUGGAGGAUGCCAAGGCUCCCCGAGGGCAGCAUGAGGAGGCUACUUUGCUGUCAUGAGUGGGACGCAUGUGCUUGAUCACAUGGGGCACCUUCCCUUAGAGGGAGGGGUGCUGUGGCUGCCACCUUCUCACCAGGGCUAAAGCCUUUCCCUGACCUGCUCCUGCCCAUCUGGCCUGCUGCCCCAAGGCACCACCACACCUACAUAGAUAGCAGGGAGGCCCAGUCUUGUGUUGUGGACACUCAAGUUGGCCUGCCUCUAUAAAGGUGAUACUGCCUACUGAUGGUUCUGGAAGCCCUGACGGAGCAGCUCAUAACUAGAGGAUUGGUGCCCAGACCUGAGGCUUUGGAAACGAUCCCAGCUCAGACUUCAUGAGAGAAUGACAGUGUCCCAGCUCCUUGGGAUAUUGUGUUUUUUUUCAUACCAUUUCUUCUGCAAACAUUAACCAAACAUUGACUAAAAGCUAGGGCCUUGGCUGACACAGUUGGUUGCUGGAAGGAUCUCACAGUCUGUGAGGGAGGCAGGCAAGGGCCAAAAGUGACUGCAAUCUGCUCAUGGAGCAGCUCACUCUAACUGGUUCUGGAAGGUUGAGUUGGCUGGACAAAGAAAGAGGUAUGGAUGUGAGUGGGUGGGAGGUAGAAGGGCAGGAGGGUGCCAACAAGGGAGAGUUAAAUUCUGAGCAGAGGAGCAGCAUUCACACAAAAAAGUUUGUUUUCCUACAUAGAUCACUGUAGACUCGGGUUGGCAAAGUACAGCUCACAGGCCAAAUCUGGUUCACUUUCUGUUUUUGUAAAUAAAGUUUUAUUGGAACCCAGCCAUGCUCAUUCAUUUCUUUUCUUCGGCAAAGUUGAGUAGUCACAGCAUGGCUCUCAGAUCCCAAACUAUUUAUGAUCUGAGUCUUUACAGACAAAGUUUGUCUAUCCCUGUUCUA
Long non-coding RNA from Aotus nancymaae (Ma's night monkey), 3473 nucleotides. NCBI's taxonomy places the organism in Eukaryota, Metazoa, Chordata, Mammalia, Primates, Aotidae. The record is from Ensembl.